This 619-nucleotide ribosomal RNA is filed under the name uncultured bacterium. Its description in RNAcentral is "bacterial SSU rRNA". It matches the Rfam family "Bacterial small subunit ribosomal RNA", at positions 338 to 951 of the family's 1533-position model. The record is from RNAcentral.
CCUACGGGAGGCAGCAGUGGGGAAUUUUGGACAAUGGGCGCAAGCCUGAUCCAGCCAUGCCGCGUGCGGGAAGAAGGCCUUCGGGUUGUAAACCGCUUUUGUCAGGGAAGAAAUCCUUUGAGUUAAUACCUCGGGGGGAUGACGGUACCUGAAGAAUAAGCACCGGCUAACUACGUGCCAGCAGCCGCGGUAAUACGUAGGGUGCGAGCGUUAAUCGGAAUUACUGGGCGUAAAGCGUGCGCAGGCGGUCUUGCAAGACAGGUGUGAAAUCCCCGGGCUUAACCUGGGAACUGCACUUGUGACUGCAAGGCUGGAGUACGGCAGAGGGGGAUGGAAUUCCGCGUGUAGCAGUGAAAUGCGUAGAUAUGCGGAGGAACACCGAUGGCGAAGGCAAUCCCCUGGGCCUGUACUGACGCUCAUGCACGAAAGCGUGGGGAGCAAACAGGAUUAGAUACCCUGGUAGUCCACGCCCUAAACGAUGUCAACUGGUUGUUGGACGGCUUGCUGUUCAGUAACGAAGCUAACGCGUGAAGUUGACCGCCUGGGGAGUACGGCCGCAAGGUUGAAACUCAAAUGAAAUUGACCGGNNGAGAGAGCGAGACGACGACGAGGGAGGAGG